Molecule: long non-coding RNA, 1627 nt
Filed under: Vigna radiata
Lineage: Eukaryota; Viridiplantae; Streptophyta; Magnoliopsida; Fabales; Fabaceae
Description: long non-coding RNA (VRAD_LNC004256)
Source: RNAcentral
GUGGGUCUAGUGAAGGACGAAAACCUAAGAACUUUGGAAGAUAGCUUGGAACUAGAGGUAAGGGGUUUAACUUGGGAUAUAAUAUAGUGUAUGAUGGGUAGAAGGUAACAUGAUAAUAUUGAUGCAUGUUUCUUUUUUAUGUUGAGAUUAAAGUUAAUAUGUUGAGGCAUGCUCUCUNUUUUUGUGUUUAGUUUCAUGUGUUGUUGUAUGGAGAAUGAUUAUUUUUCAUGCAUUUUCAAAAUGGGGUUGUGAAGGGGUAUACUUUGGGUUGUAUAUAUAUAUAUAUAUAUAUAUAGUGGUUUUCGUUUUUUGGUAGUUAUGGGUAUACCUUGAACUUUAUAUGUUGGCUUUUCAAAAAGUGUUGUUAAAAUGGGUAUACAUGUUUUGGGCACUUUGGGGUGAUGUAUGUGUAUGAAAAAGUUUUAUGGGUACACUUAAAAUCAUGUUAUAUUUUGUGCAUCUUGUUUCCUUAUUACCAUGUAUGAAUUAUAGUAUUUUGUGGGAUGCUUAUCUACACUCUUUGACCAAGAGUGUGGGUAGGAUGGUAUUGAGAGUUUGAGGGUUCUCUUCCAUUGUUGGAAGAGAAAAAGUGAGUCAUGGGUUUGAGAAGAGAUAAUUUGAGACUUUGGUAAGUUGGGGUACAUGGGGUUGAUGAAAAACAGUGAAAAAAGAAUGGAAUUUUUGGUGUCUUGUGUGGAAGAAGAACAUGAAGAAAGAAGAUGGAAGCGGAAGGUGGAGAUGGACACAUUACAACUCACUUAAAAGAGGCAAAGGAAAAGGUAGAAGACUUGGAGUUGGUGUGGAGAUGCAUGGAAUUUUCGUAAAGAGGGUUGAAAAAAAAAAUGAAGAAGAGGUGACGUGAAGCAAGAAGAAGAAAAAGAAGAAUGGAAUGGUGUGGGUAUGUUGGUUACAUGAAUGUACGCAGAGAGUGAAGAGGGAAAAAUUAAAAUAAAAGAACAUGUGUGUGUAGUUAACGUGAAAAGAAGGGAUGUGGUGAGAGAUGAGUGUUUGAAAAGUCAAAAUAAAAUUAAAGAGUGUGUGAGAUAGAAGUGUGCAACGUAAGUGUAGUGAGAGAGAGUGAAUAUAAGAAAAAAAAAUAAAAGAGUGGUGUGUGAGAUGGUGUGGGGUCGUGGCAUUUAAUGUAGAAAAGAGAGAAGGAAAGAAAAGAGUAGGAGAGGUGUGUGCAUGGGAGUGUUCUACGUGAAGUGAGAUAAAGUGGGAAGUGGAGUCAUGGUUUUGUAAGAAAAGAGGAGUGAGGUGAAUUUUGGUUUAAUUGAAAAAAAUAAAUGAAUAAAUAAAUAAAAGAGAAAAAUAGGAAGAAAGGAAGGUCCGUAAAAGAAAAAAAAAUGGAGAGAGGAAGAGAUUUUUGUGAGAAAAGAGUAAUUCAAGUGGGGUCCACUUGGAGAGAGAAAAAAAAAUAUAAAGUUUGAGUUUAAAAUUAAAAAGAUUAAUGGGGUCCAAUUGGGUUGGUAAAUUUAAGAGAGGGGGUGUAUUUAAAAUAAAAAGGGGUACAUUAAAAAGGGUUUUAUUUUUGUGUUGUGAUUUUAGUAAAAGCGGGGGUGCACUAGAAAUAUUGGUUCUAGUGGAAUGGAAGGGUGAGAUUAAUAAUUUCACGGGGGUGCGCAAG